RNAcentral lists this long non-coding RNA (772 nucleotides) under Elaeis guineensis (African oil palm). RNAcentral's name for it is "long non-coding RNA (EGUI_LNC001516)". The record is from RNAcentral. Lineage: Eukaryota; Viridiplantae; Streptophyta; Magnoliopsida; Arecales; Arecaceae.
UCCGUUUCUCGUAGCUCAUAGCGUUAUGGUGGACCGAGGAUGGUUUACGAAUGAAUUACGGGGUCUAUGGCUUGUUUUUGCAUGAUCGUGCAGUCAGAGUGGUUUGCGGUCUUGAUCUGGCAACUAGAGAGGCUGUUUAAUGCGAUCUAAGAGCUGUUAGACUCGCUUUCGGAUACAAAGUCCUAACAGGACUCUAGUGAGGGCCUUUUGACGUAUUGUGGAUGAAAAUUUUUGGACUAUAAAUAAGUGCUGAUCCCGAGGUUAUUUAGUCACAGUCGGCAGUGAGAGAUCCAUGAGGCAGAGAAGUCUUCUUUGGUUCUAGUGAGAGCUUUGUAAGGAUAGCUUUUAGUUGAGAGAGCUUGUGUAUAAGGGUUGAGAGUGUAAGGAUCUUCUCUUGUACUUAUUCUUUUCUCAUAGUGAAGCUUUAUAUUCCUUGUGGAGGUAAGCCUUGGAUCGAUCCAUAUACUUGAUUAUUUUUUUUUGUCUUGUAUUUUUUUUUUCUUGCGGUAUCUACACGUGAUCGAGUGCAAUAUGAGUGAUAUCGAAAAAGUUAUAUGGUGGUGGUGUCCUGGUUAGACCCCCCAACACUCUCUCUUCGAUAUGCUUUGACUUAAGCAUCGAAGGGUUUCCUCCUAAAAACCUCCACCUUCUUUUCCAACGUGUGCAGACUUUCUUAUAGAUUCUCGAGGUUUGGAUUGGCACAUGACAACUCUAGUUUAGCGGAUGAUCCAAACUGUCCUGCCACCUCAUCAUCUUGUUGAAGAGGCACGGC